Homo sapiens (human) is the source of this 1737-nucleotide long non-coding RNA. Ensembl annotates it as TOMM22 divergent transcript. Its record names the gene TOMM22-DT. The record is from Ensembl. NCBI's taxonomy places the organism in Eukaryota, Metazoa, Chordata, Mammalia, Primates, Hominidae.
AGCGGGUCCGGCAGCCCUGGCCUUAUCCGGGCGUCGGGGCUUCGGCGGGCAUUAGCAGCAGCUGAGAGGCCUGUGAGAGGUUCUGGGGCGCCACCGCAGUCAUUCUGUUCAGCGGGUAUAGGACUUUCAUUCAUGGGACUGUCCCUGAUUCCCAGCCAUCACGGGGAGGCUCUACCUUCAAGUGUUAUCCAGAAUCAGACCACCUCACCUCAUCUACUGUGGCCUCCCUGGGAUGGGCCUGGCCUCCUUCAGUCUGUUCUCACCACAAAGCCACCAGAAGGAUCCUUUUAUUUUUAUUGAUUGAUUGAUUGAUACGGGGUCUGACUCUGUCAGCAGGCUGGAGUGCAAUGGCACGAUCUCACCUCACUGCAACCUCUGCUUCUUGGACUCAAGCAAUCCUCCCACCACUGCCUCCUGAGUAGCUGGGACCACAGGUGCACACCACCACACCCAGUUAAUCUUUUUGUAUUUUUGGUAGAGAUGGAGUUUCACCAUUUUGCCCAGGAUGGUCUCAAACUGUUAAGCUCAAGCAAUCUACCCACCUCAGCUUCCCACAGUGCUGGGAUUACAGAUAUGGGCCACCACGCCCAGCGCCUUUUAAAAGUGCAGUUGGAUCAUAGCAUUUAUCUGCUCAUAACAAUGGCUUUUGCUUCCCCGCUCACUCAAAAGAAAUUCCUUCUUCACUGCAGAACUGCCCCUCCUACCACAGGAUGUUUAGGGUUCCUGGCUGCAACCCCCAAAGGUCCUAAUGGUGCUGGUCAUGGGGGGAUCCACACCAUUGUGACAACGAAAUAUGCCCACAUGAUGCCCAAGGCUUCAGUCCUGGCCCCACCCUUCCACUGUGUCACUGUGCUGGGUUGGUUUUCUCAUCUAAAACAUGGUGAUGGGGAUAACAAACUUGAAAGAGUGUCAUGCAAAUGAGGUGUCCAGCAUCGGGAGGUGUCCAGCAUCAGGAAUAUUAAUAAAGGGUCCCCAGUGAUACCGGCCGAGGCAUAAGCAAACUCCACUGCUCCUAUUAUCUGCACCUGAAGAUUUACACCUUGCAUAUAUGUGGAUCCUUUUCCAAUUUCUUCUGUAUUAAACAUUCUCUCCUGUAUCAGAAAGUCAGGUUAUGGGUUGGAGCUACAAAUCUGCCCUUCGAUCCAUCCCCCCCAUAGAGUGCUUUGCUGGCCGUAAGGAUGGACUGCAGACAGCAGCUCCCUUUGAGGCCGCCCCCAGCUCCUCUCUUUCAUAGCGGGCUGUGUGAAUCAAGCUCCAGCACUUCUACUGUGUGAUCCUAGAUCAGUGUCUGAACCUCCCAGAGUUUCCUUCUCUGCAGAUGGAUGUGCCGAUAGCCCCUGCUACACAGGGCUGAGCUGAAGGGGAAAUGAGACAGUGAGAGCAAAGGGAGCCUGGUGCCAGGCAUGUACCGGGCAUUCAGAAGUGGCUAACCAUGGUAGCCUGUCCCUAGUCUAAAGCCCUGGGCACCAUGCCCCCACCUCCACCCCCUCAGUUCCUUCCCGCUUGACUUCAGGAGCUGGAUUCCCUCCUCUUGCCAGAAAAGUCCAGCUCAUACUGCCUACGGCACAAAUUCUCACACCAACCAUUAGGUUCCUGCCAGGUCCUGGCCAGUCCCAACACCAUGAAGCAGGAGGGCAGGCGAAUUUUGAGCAGAGAGACUGUUUCUGUUUGGCAUCAGCCUCUGCCAAUGCCCAGGAAAGCUGGAAUGCUCUCCUACAAGAGUGACAGUUCCCCACA